UUAGUUAUUUAUGCCACAUUUACUUCAUUCACUUCAGGCAGCGACUCUAACGCCUGCUGUCAGGCUUGGCUGGCCAUGAGGGCCAAGUAUGCGAGAGAAUCGAAGAAACAAAGAGGCCGGAGCGGUGCUGGCCGCGAUGGUCUUGCCGUGCCAACAUGGCACCUCUUCAAGUAACUGGCCUUCCUUAAGGGCCAGAUUCAGCACCGACGCACCAAAGUGCUCCCUGUUGCGGGGGGAGUGGCGUCCACUUCUGCAGCGGCAGCAGACGUUGAAAAAUGAGGCUUGAGCCCAGAGGCAAGUUUGCUUACACGCUACCGGUCUUUAUUCGGAGUGCAGACAAGCUGGCUAAGUUGACGUCAACCAGUUGGUGGCCAAAAUUACCUUCAGGGCUCCUAUUUUGGUCAUGGGCUUGGAGGUGAUCGAAUGUCACAGAAUGUGGAAGGCCAUCCGCAACCGCUAUGUUAAGAGACGAGAGCGGCGAAAGGCAAGAGUAAAGCUGGCGAGGAGGAUGUCCAGCCUCCCACGUGGGUUCUUUUCAAGUUCCUGGGGUUCCCCGAUGGUCAAAUCUGUGCAGAUGGUAGGCACAGAAUGUUUUGGACAACAAAGGGCACUGCAGAUUGUGCCGUAUUUUGUAUGCAUUGUAACGAUGACGUGGCAGAACCCUGGUUUGUCCCAAGACAAAAGGAGCCUCACACAACACCAUGUCUACAAACUGGAGUGAAGGAGCCCCCACUUCCGUGCCAGGAGAGAUCCUUGCGGAAAUGUAUUGCCCUGGAGAGACCGCAACCCCCGCAGAAAAUAGACAGCCUGGGAUGCCUGCUGAUGCCGAGAUGGAAGACAUACUGUAGCAUGAAGACAUACAUUUUAUUUAACAACUGCCUUCGAUAAGCAUGUUUGCAAGUGGCUCCUGUGUAAUUACCCUUUUCUCACUCUCCUCUUUCAUUUAAGCGAUUGGCUAUUCUUGGAGGCAGGUCCAAA
Molecule: long non-coding RNA, 978 nt
Organism: Ixodes scapularis (black-legged tick)
Lineage: Eukaryota; Metazoa; Arthropoda; Arachnida; Ixodida; Ixodidae
Exons: 5
Source: RefSeq, a predicted model, not a curated record